UCGCUUUGGCAGCAAGUAUACUCAAAUUGGAAUGAUACAGAGAAGAUUAGCAUGGCCCCUGCGCAAGGAUGAAAAAGUUCUUUAUACUUGCAUUAUCAAGUGUGU
Suncus etruscus (white-toothed pygmy shrew) is the source of this 105-nucleotide small nuclear RNA. The record is from RefSeq and is a predicted model, not a curated record. Lineage: Eukaryota; Metazoa; Chordata; Mammalia; Eulipotyphla; Soricidae.